This 491-nucleotide ribosomal RNA is filed under the name uncultured bacterium. RNAcentral's name for it is "partial 16S ribosomal RNA". It matches the Rfam family "Bacterial small subunit ribosomal RNA", at positions 29 to 507 of the family's 1533-position model. The record is from RNAcentral.
AGUGAACGCUGGUGGUAGGCCUAACACAUGCAAGUCGAACGGCAGCACAGUAAGAGCUUGCUCUUACGGGUGGCGAGUGGCGGACGGGUGAGGAAUACAUCGGAAUCUACUUUUUCGUGGGGGAUAACGUAGGAAACUUACGCUAAUACCGCAUACGACCUACGGGUGAAAGCAGGGGAUCUUCGGACCUUGCGCGAUUGAAUGAGCCGAUGUCGGAUUAGCUAGUUGGCGGGGUAAAGGCCCACCAAGGCGACGAUCCGUAGCUGGUCUGAGAGGAUGAUCAGCCACACUGGAACUGAGACACGGUCCAGACUCCUACGGGAGGCAGCAGUGGGGAAUAUUGGACAAUGGGCGCAAGCCUGAUCCAGCCAUACCGCGUGGGUGAAGAAGGCCUUCGGGUUGUAAAGCCCUUUUGUUGGGAAAGAAAAGCAGCAGGUUAAUACCCCGCUGUUCUGACGGUACCCAAAGAAUAAGCACCGGCUAACUUCGUG